RNAcentral lists this ribosomal RNA (2721 nucleotides) under Roseibium aggregatum IAM 12614. RNAcentral's name for it is "bacterial LSU rRNA". It matches the Rfam family "Bacterial large subunit ribosomal RNA". Lineage: Bacteria; Pseudomonadati; Pseudomonadota; Alphaproteobacteria; Hyphomicrobiales; Stappiaceae. The record is from RNAcentral.
UCAAGUGUCUUAAGGGCAUUCGGUGGAUGCCUUGGCGACAAGAGGCGAUGAAGGACGUGAUACGCUGCGAUAAGCCAUGGGGAGCUGCGAAUAAGCUUUGAUCCGUGGAUUUCCGAAUGGGGAAACCCACUCCGUAUGGAGUACCCGCAAGGGAGCAAACCCGGGGAACUGAAACAUCUAAGUACCCGGAGGAAAGGACAUCAACCGAGACUCCGCUAGUAGUGGCGAGCGAACGCGGACCAGGCCAGUGGCUUGCAUUUAAGAACCGGAACCGUCUGGAAAGUCGGGCAUUAGUGGGUGAUAGCCCCGUACGGGUAGAAAUUAUGCAAGUCCUCGAGUAGGGCGGGACACGUGAAAUCCUGUCUGAACGUGGGGGGACCACCCUCCAAGCCUAAGUACUCCUUGUCGACCGAUAGCGAACAAGUACCGUGAGGGAAAGGUGAAAAGUACCCCGACGAGGGGAGUGAAACAGUUCCUGAAACCGGAUGCCUACAAACAGUUGGAGGGCGCAAGCCUGACAGCGUACCUUUUGUAUAAUGGGUCAGCGACUUAAUUUAACGAGCAAGCUUAAGCCGGUAGGUGUAGGCGUAGCGAAAGCGAGUCUGAAUAGGGCGCCCUAGUUCGUUGGAUUAGACCCGAAACCGAGUGAUCUAGCCAUGGCCAGGUUGAAGGUGCGGUAACACGCACUGGAGGACCGAACCCACGCCUGUUGAAAAAGUCGGGGAUGAGCUGUGGCUAGGGGUGAAAGGCCAAUCAAACUCGGAAAUAGCUGGUUCUCCGCGAAAUCUAUUUAGGUAGAGCGUCGGAUGAAUACUCUCGGGGGUAGAGCACUGGAUGGGCUAUGGGGGCUUACCGCCUUACUGAUCCUAACCAAACUCCGAAUACCGAGAAGUACUAUCCGGCAGACACACAGUGGGUGCUAACGUCCAUUGUGGAGAGGGAAACAACCCUGACCGCCAGUUAAGGUCCCUAAGUUAUGGCUAAGUGGGAAAGGAUGUAGAACUCCCAAAACAACCAGGAUGUUGGCUUAGAAGCAGCCAUCAUUUAAAGAAAGCGUAACAGCUCACUGGUCUAAAUAAGGGGUUCCGCGCCGAAAAUGUACCGGGGCUCAAGCCAUACACCGAAACUGCGGGUGCAUCUUAGGAUGCGCGGUAGCGGAGCGUUCUGUAAGUCUGCGAAGGGGGACCCGUGAGGGCUCCUGGAGAUAUCAGAAGUGCGAAUGCUGACAUGAGUAACGAUAAAGCGGGUGAGAGACCCGCUCGCCGAAAGUCCAAGGGUUCCUGCGCAACGCUAAUCGGCGCAGGGUUAGCCGGCCCCUAAGGCGAGGCCGAAAGGCGUAGUCGAUGGGAAUGCAGUUAAUAUUCUGCAGCUUGGUGGUAGUGACGGAUGCCGUGUGUUGUAUCUCCUUAUUGGAUUGGGGGUGCAGCGAAGGUGUUCCAGGAAAUAGCUCCACCGUAUAAACCGUACCCGAAACCGACACAGGUGGACUGGUAGAGAAUACCAAGGCGCUUGAGAGAACUAUGCUGAAGGAACUCGGCAAAAUGCUCCCGUAAGUUCGCGAGAAGGGAGACCUCACGAUGGGCAACCGUUGUGGGGUGGCACAGACCAGGGGGUGGCGACUGUUUAUCAAAAACACAGGGCUCUGCGAAGCCGUAAGGCGACGUAUAGGGUCUGACGCCUGCCCGGUGCUGGAAGGUUAAGAGGAGGUGUGCAAGCACCGAAUUGAAGCCCCAGUAAACGGCGGCCGUAACUAUAACGGUCCUAAGGUAGCGAAAUUCCUUGUCGGGUAAGUUCCGACCUGCACGAAUGGCGUAACGACUUCCCCGCUGUCUCCAGCAUAGACUCAGUGAAAUUGAAUUCCCCGUGAAGAUGCGGGGUUCCUGCGGUCAGACGGAAAGACCCCGUGCACCUUUACUACAGCUUCACACUGGUAUUCGUCACGACAUGUGUAGGAUAGGUGGUAGACGUUGAAGCAGGAGCGCCAGCUCUUGUGGAGUCACCCUUGAAAUACCACCCUUGUCGUCAUGGAUAUCUAACCGCGGUACAACAAUAUCCGGGACCGUGUGUGGCGGGUAGUUUGACUGGGGCGGUCGCCUCCCAAAUGGUAACGGAGGCGCGCGAAGGUGGGCUCAGAGCGGUCGGAAAUCGCUCGUUGAGUGCAAUGGCAUAAGCCUGCCUGACUGCGAGACUGACAAGUCGAGCAGAGUCGAAAGACGGCCAUAGUGAUCCGGUGGUCCCUCGUGGAAGGGCCAUCGCUCAACGGAUAAAAGGUACGCCGGGGAUAACAGGCUGAUGAUGCCCAAGAGUCCAUAUCGACGGCAUUGUUUGGCACCUCGAUGUCGACUCAUCACAUCCUGGGGCUGGAGCAGGUCCCAAGGGUUUGGCUGUUCGCCAAUUAAAGUGGUACGUGAGUUGGGUUCAGAACGUCGCGAGACAGUUCGGUCCCUAUCUGCCGUGGGUGUAGGAGAAUUGAGAGGAUCUGUCCCUAGUACGAGAGGACCGGGAUGGACGUACCUCUGGUGGACCUGUUGUGGCGCCAGCCGCAUUGCAGGGUAGCUAUGUACGGAAGGGAUAACCGCUGAAAGCAUCUAAGCGGGAAACCCACCUCAAAACCAGUUCUCCCUGAAGAGCCGUGGAAGACCACCACGUCGAUAGGAAGCGUGUGGAAGUGCGGCAACGCAUGAAGCUUAGCUUUACUAAUAGCUCGUUCGGCUUGAUCCU